RNAcentral lists this long non-coding RNA (1788 nucleotides) under Piliocolobus tephrosceles (Ugandan red Colobus). Its description in RNAcentral is "lncRNA (ENSPTEG00000015283.1)". Lineage: Eukaryota; Metazoa; Chordata; Mammalia; Primates; Cercopithecidae. The record is from RNAcentral.
AUGGGUAAUAUUUUAUGCAAAUUAUCUAAAGGUAAAAAAUACCUUAUGUCAUGGUUUAAUAAUUUUUUUUAUUUGUUUUUUAAAAAUAGUAAAAAAAAAAUAUCUUCUAUAGAAAAUUCAGAUAACAACAAAGAAAGUAGCCAGAACAUAUCUAAUAGCAACAAAAAUGAAGAAAAUGGCGAGAAAAGAAAUUACAUUAUAAGGGCUCUAAAAGAAAUGACUAUAUAUGAGAAAUGUUUACUAGGAGUUGCUUUAUUUUUUUUAUCUAUUAAUGCAUUUACUAAUUUGAGCUACCCUAAGAUAAUGGGUGGUUUAGCAUCUUAUUUUCGAAUAUUUUUUACUAAAAAAUGUAUGAAACAAGUUGAGUAUAGAUUAAAAAAAGAUUUACAUAAAAAAAUAAUAAAUGAAAAUGAUGAAAAAUUUUUAAAAUAUAAACCUGCAGAUUAUUUAAUAAAUUGUACAUUUAAUGAAGUUAGAUAUUCAUCAGUGGAAUUAGUUACAUCUAUAACUCAAAUUUUACGUUAUACGAAUUCUAUUGUAGGGGGUAGUAUAUGUAUGCUUUUAAUUUCUCCAUAUCUUACGAAAUUAUGUGUUUUUAUUGUACCAACUUACGGAUUACUUGUUUUAUUUAUUGGUAAAAAAAUAAAAAAUAAUAAAAUAAAAACAAAUGAAUUGGAAGAAAAACAAAUGGCACGAUUUUCAGAUAUUAUACAAAAAAAAAAUAUAAUUAAUUUAUAUGCUAAUGAAUAUUAUGAAAAUAAAUAUUUUUUUAAAAGUUUAAAACAUAGUCAACAAUUAGAUUAUAAUUAUAUUAAAUCUGAAUCAAUGUUUUAUUCAUUUUUAAAUAUUGGAAGUAAUUUAGUUAUAUGUACUGUGUUAUGUUUAGGUAAAAUGGAAUUAAAUAAAAGUAAUAUAACGCAUGGACAAUUAGUUUCUUUUAUCACUUAUAGCACUAUGUUAGGUCUUGGGAUAUUCGGAAUGCUCAAAGUAAAAAAAGAUAUAACUUUACUUCAGUUGAGUUUGCAUAAAAUAUAUCAAAUUUUGGAUUUUACAAAAAAAUAUUCGAUCCUUACAAAUGUCCAUACAAAUGUCCAUACAAAUGUCCAUACGAAUGUACCUACGAAUGUACUUACGAAUGAAAAGGAAGAGGAAAAAAAAGAUGGCAGUAAUAUUGUAGUAGCUACUGUUGAUAUUACUGAGACGGAAAACAUUGGUAAUUCUAAAAAUAUAAUCAAUCAAGAUAGUAUCAAUCAAGAUAGUAUUAAUCAAGAUAGUAUCAACCGAGAUAGUAUUAAUCGAGAUAGUAUUAAUCGAGAUAGUGACGUUGAUAUCCCUAAGAGUAUAAAAGGCAGUAUUCGAUUUAUAAAUGUUUCUUUUACAUAUAACAAUUUUGAUGAAGUUAAUAAAAAAAAAGUAUUAAAAAAUAUAAAUAUAGAAAUAAAUGAAAAUGAAAAAGUAGCUAUUAUAGGUAAAAGUGGAGCAGGGAAAUCUACUUUAAGGAAAUUAUUAACAGGUGAAUUAAAUUUUGAAGGUACUAUAUAUAUAGAUAAUUAUAAUUUACAAAAUAUAAACAAAACUUAUUUAAAAAAAAAUAUAAUUUCAUUUUUUGAACAAGAAUGUAAUCUUUUAAAUAGAUCUUUAUAUGAAAAUUUAGUUUAUUCUAUAGUACCUAUAAAAAUAAAAAAUAAAUAUUAUUUGUCCAGUUUAAUAUUCGAUAAUGCUCAUAUAAAUAAGAAUAUGCUUAUAAAAAUAUUAAAACAAAAUAAUAAUAGUGGUAAUAAUAAUAGU